RNAcentral lists this small nuclear RNA (105 nucleotides) under Chinchilla lanigera (long-tailed chinchilla). Lineage: Eukaryota; Metazoa; Chordata; Mammalia; Rodentia; Chinchillidae. The record is from RNAcentral.
UGUUCAUGUCAACAGCAAUAUACUAAAAUUGGAACAAUACAGAGAAGAUUAACAUGGCCCCUGCACAAGGGUGACUUGCAAAUUUGUGAAAUGUUCCAUAUUUUU